RNAcentral lists this ribosomal RNA (409 nucleotides) under uncultured rumen bacterium. Its description in RNAcentral is "bacterial SSU rRNA". It matches the Rfam family "Bacterial small subunit ribosomal RNA", at positions 509 to 916 of the family's 1533-position model. The record is from RNAcentral.
CAGCAGCCGCGGUAAUACGUAGGGUGCAAGCGUUAAUCGGAAUUACUGGGCGUAAAGCGUGCGCAGGCGGUUAUGCAAGACAGAGGUGAAAUCCCCGGGCUCGACCUGGGGACUGCCUUUGUGACUGCAUGGCUAGAGUACGGUAGAGGGGGAUGGAAUUCCGCGUGUAGCAGUGAAAUGCGUAGAUAUGCGGAGGAACACCGAUGGCGAAGGCAAUCCCCUGGACCUGUACUGACGCUCAUGCACGAAAGCGUGGGGAGCAAACAGGAUUAGAUACCCUGGUAGUCCACGCCCUAAACGAUGUCAACUGGUUGUUGGGAGGGUUUCUUCUCUAGUAACGUAGCUAACGCGUGAAGUUGACCGCUCUGGGGAGUACGGCCGCAAGGUUGAAACUCAAAGAAAUUGACGG